Molecule: long non-coding RNA, 505 nt
Organism: Hyla sarda
Lineage: Eukaryota; Metazoa; Chordata; Amphibia; Anura; Hylidae
Exons: 3
Source: RefSeq, a predicted model, not a curated record
GGAAAUUAUUGGGCGGUGCCGCGGCGGUCAGCUGACGUACAGAUAAGCCAAUCAGACCGCUAGAGGGGGUGGGGCCUGUAUGAAGCCGGAAGCUCUGAGCAUCCCGGAAGCAAGUGGGGGCGAGCAUCACGUGUGCUAGCGGGAGCGGUAUACAGAGGGGCCCCUGGGGGCUCAUGUGGGGCAGCGGGGUUCUGCGGCUCAGCAGAGAGGUCUGCCGGUUAGGGAGGCUGCAGGGGCACCUCAUCAUGUCCUCCAAUAACUUCUGCCGCUCUUCAUCUUCUGCCGAGAGUAGCGAAUCGGCCACCGGGACUGUCACCGCCGGCAUCAUCAUCAUCGGGGACGAGAUCCUGAAGGGCCACACUCAGGACACGAACUCCUACUUCAUGUGUAAGAAGCUGCGCUCCAUCGGGGUGAGGGUCAGCAGGAUCUCGGUCAUCCCGGACGACGUGGACUCCAUCGCGGGGAGAUCGCAGCCUUCUCCUCCCGUUACACAUACGUCCUGACC